RNAcentral lists this ribosomal RNA (306 nucleotides) under uncultured bacterium. RNAcentral describes it as "bacterial SSU rRNA". It matches the Rfam family "Bacterial small subunit ribosomal RNA", at positions 28 to 334 of the family's 1533-position model. The record is from RNAcentral.
GAUGAACGCUAGCGGGAGGCCUAAUACAUGCAAGUCGAACGGUAAGGUUCCUUCGGGAAUACACGAGUGGCGAACGGGUGCGUAACGCGUACGAAACAUGCCUUUAUCAGGAAGAUAGCCUUGGGAAACCGAGAAUAAUAUUCCAUAGUAUUAUAUUACCGCAUGGUAUUUAUAAUUAAAGCUCCGGCGGAUAAAGAUUGUCGUGCGUCCCAUUAGCUAGUUGGUGAGGUAACUGCUCACCAAGGCGACGAUGGGUAACUGGUUUGAGAGGAUGAUCAGUCACACUGGUACUGAGACACGGACCAG